Tinamus guttatus (white-throated tinamou) is the source of this 46-nucleotide non-coding RNA. NCBI's taxonomy places the organism in Eukaryota, Metazoa, Chordata, Aves, Tinamiformes, Tinamidae. The record is from Rfam.
CUAAAGGCUCUUUUAAGAGCCACCACAUUGUCACUGUGAGAGCUGU